GACGAACGCUGGCGGCGUGCUUAACACAUGCAAGUCGAACGAAAAGAGGGAAAGAGCUUGCUCUUUCCGGAAUUGAGUGGCAAACGGGUGAGUAACACGUAAACAACCUGCCUUCAGGAUGGGGACAACAGACGGAAACGACUGCUAAUACCGAAUAAGUUCCAAGAGCCGCAUGGCCCAUGGAAGAAAAGGUGGCUCUACCUGUAAGCUAUCGCCUGAAGAGGGGUUUGCGUCUGAUUAGCUGGUUGGAGGGGUAACGGCCCACCAAGGCGACGAUCAGUAGCCGGUCUGAGAGGAUGAACGGCCACACUGGAACUGAGACACGGUCCAGACUCCUACGGGAGGCAGCAGUGGGGAAUCUUCCGCAAUGGGCGAAAGCCUGACGGAGAAACGCCGCGUGAGUGAUGACGGCCUUCGGGUUGUAAAACUCUGUGAUCCGGGACGAAAAGGCAGAGUGCGAAGAACAAACUGCAUUGACGGUACCGGAAAAGCAAGCCACGGCUAACUACGUG
This 512-nucleotide ribosomal RNA is filed under the name uncultured bacterium. RNAcentral describes it as "partial 16S ribosomal RNA". It matches the Rfam family "Bacterial small subunit ribosomal RNA", at positions 28 to 507 of the family's 1533-position model. The record is from RNAcentral.